RNAcentral lists this ribosomal RNA (505 nucleotides) under Orthetrum pruinosum. Its description in RNAcentral is "partial 16S ribosomal RNA". It matches the Rfam family "Bacterial large subunit ribosomal RNA", at positions 1819 to 2597 of the family's 2925-position model. The record is from RNAcentral. Lineage: Eukaryota; Metazoa; Arthropoda; Insecta; Odonata; Libellulidae.
GGCCUUUUGAAUUUAAUUUAAGGUCUGACCUGCCCAGUGAUAAAUUUAACGGCCGCGGUAUACUGACCGUGCAAAGGUAGCAUAAUCAUUAGUCUUUUAAUAGAGGGCUGGAAUGAAAGGUUUCACGAGGAACUGACUGUCUCAUUUUAUUUGUUUUAAAAUUUAAUUUUUUGGUUAAAAAGCUAAAAUUUUAUUGGUAGACGAGAAGACCCUAUAGAGCUUUACAUGUAAUUGAUUAGAUAUUUUUAUAUUAAUAUUUCUAAUUAUUUUUGUGUUUUGUUGGGGUGACAAAAAUAUAUAAUUAACUUUUUUAUUUAAAUUACAUUGAUUUAUGAAUAUUAGAUCCAUUCUUGUUGAUUAUUAGACUAAGUUACCUUAGGGAUAACAGCGUAAUCCUCCUCCAGAGUUCAUAUUUACAGGAUGGGCUUGCGACCUCGAUGUUGGAUUAAGAUAAUAAUUAGGUGUAGUCGCUUAAUUGAUAGGUCUGUUCGACCUUUAAAUUCUU